Long non-coding RNA from Anastrepha ludens (Mexican fruit fly), 1143 nucleotides. RefSeq lists it as uncharacterized. The transcript has 2 exons. The record is from RefSeq and is a predicted model, not a curated record. NCBI's taxonomy places the organism in Eukaryota, Metazoa, Arthropoda, Insecta, Diptera, Tephritidae.
ACGUAUUGUUGCUGCCGCUGGUUGGUUUUAUUGGUAAUUUUCAGAGUGAGAAGCAUUCCCUCGGAAUACUUGCCAAGUGUUUGUAACGUUGGCCGGCGAUUAGUUUGUACCGAGUGAGCGAGUGAUAUGAAGGUGUUUUAAAACUACGCGAGAAAAGUGAAGCGCAUGAAUAGAAAUAAAAAAUAUUUUACAUCUCUGUUUGUUGCAAAAUAAUCAAAAGCGCAUAAAAACCGGCAAUAAUUAAAGGUCUAUAACUUACAACUAUUAUAGAUAUAAUUAUGUGUGGGUGAAGUGAAAUAUGCAAUAGAUUAUCAGCAAACGAAGUGGAUAAUAAAAGUGUCUGUACCCUAGUUCUUAGUAUUGUGGAAUACUCAAUAAUCAUGUCAAAACUAAACUAUUCGGGAUAAUUAAAAAAUUAUAUGUGUUUAAAGAAAACACCCGCUAUAUAUAAAGUAUAUGGUUCGCUUAAUGAGCUGAGACAAUAAUUUUAGCUUUACAAAAAUAUGGAAUUUAUUUGAUUAGUGAUAAAAUAGCCAUGUAUACUUUAGCAAAUGUUGGCUGAUAAUCACAAUUAGAAUCAUUCAUACGGGAGCAUGGUGUUCUAUUACCAACGCAUUCCAUACGACAAACGGCCGGAAAGCCACAUGACGACAAAUCAACAAGUAAACGGGAGAAAGAGAGAAAGAGAUGCGACGUUGCAGAGAAUUAAAAUAUAAUAAUAACAAAAAAUUGUGUGAGAGCGAGAAAUGUGUGAGAUUGUGCGGCUUAAUUGAAUAUCGAAUAAGAGCGCACUAAAAUUACAAUCAGGCAGAAUUAAAGCCAAGUAAGUGUAGUGGUGCCUAUAUUUUCAGUGUAGUGGAAAAGCAAUAAAUAGUGAAUAACAUAACACGUACAAUGUGAAAAGUAAGAGAAUAAGCCAAACUGAAAAAUGUAAUAUUAAUUUAAAAGAAUCAACGAUUAUUUGAAGUUAACUGGUGUAAAAAAUAAACGAGAAAGUGUAAUGCUAAAAAUAUAGGCUGGGAGAUGUGCUUAUAAUUUUGCGUCGGCAGCGACAGUGGAAGCUGGUUUUUAGUUAUUAAUGAAUGAAUUGAUUGAACAACGAGAUUGUAAACAAACAAAAAGGCGAGUGCUGAUAAAUAAGUA